GCUUAGAAGCAGCCACCAUUAAAAGAGUGCGUAAUAGCUCACUGGUCAAGUGAUUCCGCGCCGACAAUGUAACGGGGCUCAAGCACAGCACCGAAGUUCUAUCAUUCACACAUUAUCCCGGUCGCAAGAUCCAGGAGUGUGGAUGGGUAGGAGAGCGUCGUGUCACUGGUGAAGCGGCAGAGGAAUCUAGCCGUGGAAGUUACACGAGUGAGAAUGUAGACAUGAGUAGCGAGAGAGGGGUGAGAAACCCCUCCGCCGAAAGACCAAGGGUUCCUGGGCCAGGCUAAUCCGCCCAGGGUAAGUCGGGACCUAAGGCGAGGCCGUCAGGCGUAGUCGAUGGACAACUGGUUGAUAUUCCAGUACCCGCUUUAAAUCGCCCAUAACGAAUCCACUAAUGCUAAGACUUUGAAGUUGGUGCGGCUUUUGUCGUACUGAUGGAGCGGUCGAACCGGUGUGGUAGUAGUUCAGCAAUGGUGUGACACAGGAAGGCAGUCCAGCCCGGGCGAUGGUUGUCCCGGGGUAAGGUCGUAGGGCGUUACGUAGGCAAAUCCGCGUAACACAUGCCUGAGAGCUGAUGCCGAGCCGUAAGGCGAAGUGGAUGAUCCUAUGCUGUCAAGAAAAGCAUCUAGCGAGAAUUAUUGCGGCCCGUACCCGAAACCGACACAGGUGGUCAGGUAGAGAAUACCAAGGCGAUCGAGAGAAUCAUGGAUAAGGAACUCGGCAAAAUGCCCCCGUAACUUCGGGAGAAGGGGGGCCCUUCGACGUGUAGGAAUUUACUUCCGAAGCGUUGGAAGGCCGCAGAGACCAGGCUCAAGCGACUGUUUACCAAAAACACAGGUCCGUGCGAAGUUGCAAAACGAUGUAUACGGACUGACGCCUGCCCGGUGCUGGAAGGUUAAGGGGACUGGUUAGCCGCAAGGCGAAGCUGAGAACUUAAGCCCCAGUAAACGGCGGUGGUAACUAUAACCAUCCUAAGGUAGCGAAAUUCCUUGUCGGGUAAGUUCCGACCUGCACGAAUGGCGUAACGACUUGAGCGCUGUCUCAUCCGUGAACUCGGCGAAAUUGCAUUACGAGUAAAGAUGCUCGUUACGCGCAGAAAGACGGAAAGACCCCGGGACCUUUACUAUAUCUUGAUAUUGGUGUUCGGAACGGUUUGUGUAGCAUAGGUGGGAGACUUUGAAGCGGGCACGCCAGUGUUUGUGGAGUCAUCGUUGAAAUACCACUCUGAUCGUUUUGAACUUCUAACCUCGGUCCGUAAUCCGGAUCAGGGACAGUGUCUGGUGGGUAGUUUGACUGGGGCGGUCGCCUCCUAAAAAGUAACGGAGGCGCUCAAAGGUUCCCUCAACCUGGUUGGUAAUCAGGUGUCGAGUGUAAGUGCACAAGGGAGCUUAACUGUGAGACAGACAUGUCGAGCAGG
This 1417-nucleotide ribosomal RNA is filed under the name marine metagenome. RNAcentral describes it as "bacterial LSU rRNA". It matches the Rfam family "Bacterial large subunit ribosomal RNA", at positions 1104 to 2397 of the family's 2925-position model. The record is from RNAcentral.